UGGGGAAUAUUGCACAAUGGGGGAAACCCUGAUGCAGCAAUGCCGCGUGUGUGAAGAAGGCCUGCGGGUUGUAAAGCACUUUCAGUAAGGAGGAAAAGUAUGUAGUUAAUAACUGCAUACCGUGACGUUACUUACAGAAGAAGCACCGGCUAACUCCGUGCCAGCAGCCGCGGUAAUACGGAGGGUGCGAGCGUUAAUCGGAAUUACUGGGCGUAAAGCGUGCGUAGGCGGCAUGGUCAGUCGGAUGUGAAAGCCCCGGGCUUAACCUGGGAAUUGCAUUCGAUACUGCCAAGCUAGAGUAUGUUAGAGGAAAGUGGAAUUCCCGGUGUAGCGGUGAAAUGCGUAGAUAU
This 350-nucleotide ribosomal RNA is filed under the name uncultured bacterium. RNAcentral describes it as "bacterial SSU rRNA". It matches the Rfam family "Bacterial small subunit ribosomal RNA", at positions 355 to 697 of the family's 1533-position model. The record is from RNAcentral.